This 270-nucleotide ribosomal RNA is filed under the name uncultured bacterium. RNAcentral's name for it is "partial 16S ribosomal RNA". It matches the Rfam family "Bacterial small subunit ribosomal RNA", at positions 524 to 794 of the family's 1533-position model. The record is from RNAcentral.
GACAGAGGUGGCGAGCGUUGUUCGGAUUUAUUGGGCGUAAAGCGAACGCAGGUGGUUUGGUAAGUCAGAUGUGAAAUCCCCGGGCUCAACCUGGGAACUGCAUUUGAGACUGCAAAGCUAGAGUGUGGCAGAGGGGGGUGGAAUUCCACGUGUAGCAGUGAAAUGCGUAGAGAUGUGGAGGAACACCGAUGGCGAAGGCAGCCCCCUGGGCCAAUACUGACGCUCAUGCACGAAAGCGUGGGGAGCAAACAGGAUUAGAAACCCUGUAGU